GUCGAGCGGUAGAGAGGUGCUUGCACCUCUUGAGAGCGGCGGACGGGUGACUUUACCUAGGAAUCUGCCUGGUAGUGGGGGAUAACGUUCGGAAACGGACGCUAAUACCGCAUACGUCCUACGGGAGAAAGCAGGGGACCUUCGGGCCUUGCGCUAUCAGAUGAGCCUAGGUCGGAUUAGCUAGUUGGUGAGGUAAUGGCUCACCAAGGCUACGAUCCGUAACUGGUCUGAGAGGAUGAUCAGUCACACUGGAACUGAGACACGGUCCAGACUCCUACGGGAGGCAGCAGUGGGGAAUAUUGGACAAUGGGCGAAAGCCUGAUCCAGCCAUGCCGCGUGUGUGAAGAAGGUCUUCGGAUUGUAAAGCACUUUAAGUUGGGAGGAAGGGCAUUAACCUAAUACGUUAGUGCUUUGACGUUACCGACAGAAUAAGCACCGGCUAACUCUGUGCCAGCAGCCGCGGUAAUACAGAGGGUGCAAGCGUUAAUCGGAAUUACUGGGCGUAAAGCGCGCGUAGGUGGUUUGUUAAGUUGAAUGUGAAAUCCCCGGGCUCAACCUGGGAACUGCAUCCAAAACUGGCAAGCUAGAGUAUGGUAGAGGGUAGUGGAAUUUCCUGUGUAGCGGUGAAAUGCGUAGAUAUAGGAAGGAACACCAGUGGCGAAGGCGACUACCUGGACUGAUACUGACACUGAGGUGCGAAAGCGUGNGGAGCAAACAGGAUUAGAUACCCUGGUAGUCCACGCCGUAAACGAUGUCAACUAGCCGUUGGGAACCUUGAGUUCUUAGUGGCGCAGCUAACGCAUUAAGUUGACCGCC
RNAcentral lists this ribosomal RNA (816 nucleotides) under uncultured bacterium. RNAcentral describes it as "bacterial SSU rRNA". It matches the Rfam family "Bacterial small subunit ribosomal RNA", at positions 61 to 873 of the family's 1533-position model. The record is from RNAcentral.